AAGGGAGACCUAAUUCGGGUAUAAGACGAAAAAAGAGUAGUCGAAACCAAGAAUCAAUCCCAAAAGGUCGGAACGAGGUAUGUGGCUUUCAAACUAGGUUCUGGGUUCACACAAGACCCGAAUCAGGAACAAGGGCUAUUAGCUCAGGUGGUUAGAGCGCACCCCUGAUAAGGGUGAGGUCCCUGGUUCGAGUCCAGGAUGGCCCACCUGCACAGGUGGCAAAAACAAAGAGGCGAGGAAUCAGCACCUUAUCUUAUCUAUAUAUAAGAGAGAAUGCUGGCUCUGAGUAAAGAGUCCAGAGGAACCUUGAAAACUGCAUAGAGCUAGGGAAAAAGCCAAAAGAGAAGACCGCAA
Molecule: transfer RNA, 354 nt
Filed under: uncultured Microcystis sp.
Lineage: Bacteria; Bacillati; Cyanobacteriota; Cyanophyceae; Chroococcales; Microcystaceae
Description: partial 16S-23S ribosomal RNA intergenic spacer
Rfam family: tRNA (bases 133-206)
Source: RNAcentral